Molecule: long non-coding RNA, 616 nt
Filed under: Pan troglodytes (chimpanzee)
Lineage: Eukaryota; Metazoa; Chordata; Mammalia; Primates; Hominidae
Description: long non-coding RNA NONPTRT000556
Source: RNAcentral
CUUGGAGAAGAGGAGGAGGCUGAAAAGAAGGCAAAGAGUGAAGAUAGAGAAACAAGAUGGAAGUGGGGGAGAAAAACAGGGAUGAGAGAAUGCCAUGGUGGUGCUGAGAAGGAAAGGAGAGACUUUUCUGCUUGUAAAGGGCAGAAGAUGGCAGAAUCCAGUGACGCAGGGGCAUCUGGCUCCAGAAAUAAUAGGUCACUUGGCACCCACUUCUUCAAAACGGAGCAGGAGAAGAUCAGAGAAAUCUGCUACAAAACCAAGGAGGUGAGGGAGAAGAGGACCAAAUACUCACCUAGCACAUGCUCACUCUUCUCACAGACAAAGAAACAGUACAAGAAGGAAUCUCAGAACAUCAAGAAGGAAGAAAGAACACAGUAAACAAAAAUAUGGGGAUGGAGGCACAAAAUACCAGGAAGGAAACAGAUUCUGCCAGUUACAGAGUAUUGACAACACUCUGUCACUCCGAAAAGGCAGACUCAACUCCAGAAAAGGAAUAGGGAGGCCCAAGAAGAACGAAAGACAGGGGAAUAACAGGCACUCACUCUCUCUCCUGCUGCCCUGUGAAGAGGUGCUGUCUACCAUGAUUGUAAGUUUCCUGAGGCUUCCUCAGCCAUGC